RNAcentral lists this ribosomal RNA (253 nucleotides) under uncultured bacterium. RNAcentral describes it as "partial 16S ribosomal RNA". It matches the Rfam family "Bacterial small subunit ribosomal RNA", at positions 524 to 776 of the family's 1533-position model. The record is from RNAcentral.
UACGUAGGGUGCAAGCGUUGUCCGGAAUUAUUGGGCGUAAAGAGCUCGUAGGCGGUCUGUCGCGUCGGCUGUGAAAACUCGGGGCUCAACCCCGAGCCUGCAGUCGAUACGGGCAGACUAGAGUGUGGUAGGGGAGAUCGGAAUUCCUGGUGUAGCGAUGAAAUGCGCAGAUAUCAGGAGGAACACCGGUGGCGAAGGCGGAUCUCUGGGCCAUUACUGACGCUGAGGAGCGAAAGCGUGGGGAGCGAACAGG